AUAAGACUUGUGCUUUCUUAUAAUCUUUUGAAGAGCAACCCGUCCAAAGAGCUACAUUUCUAGAACCAAGGGCUGGGAAGACUUCCCACAAGGCUUUGAGCAACAUUUGGUUUAUGUAACUUAAAGUGUUGUGUCUUUGAAAGUUUAUGCAUUGAUGUCUUUGUGCAUGUCUUUAUGUUUUUGUUUAUUGAUGUCUUUAUGUUCAAGUGUUUUUGUGUAUUGAUGUCUUUAUGUUCAUGUUUAUGUCUUUGUUUAACUCUUUCUUUAUGUCUUUAUGUAUGUGAAUCUCCUCCUCUAAACAUGUUUAUGUUCAUGUUUAUGACUUUUGUUUCCCAAGGGAGGAUGGGAUAAUGAUGACUCAGUCAGGGAGGCUGCAGUGAGUGGAAGGCAUCUUCAACACGCUGAGAAAACAGGACAAGAAGAGGACAAGUCAUUGGCAAGUUGAAGCUAAUGGAGACCACAUAUUUCUACUUUGCUUGUACACCACAUUAGUUUUGUGUCAAUAAUUCGACACUCGCUUUGGGAUUUCUAUAUAUUUCACUCUUGUUCUCACAAACUAAUGCAACAAUCGUUUACAAUUCAACUCUUCUUCUUUAUA
Arabidopsis lyrata subsp. lyrata is the source of this 598-nucleotide long non-coding RNA. RefSeq lists it as uncharacterized. The record is from RefSeq and is a predicted model, not a curated record. The transcript has 2 exons. Lineage: Eukaryota; Viridiplantae; Streptophyta; Magnoliopsida; Brassicales; Brassicaceae.